RNAcentral lists this ribosomal RNA (253 nucleotides) under uncultured bacterium. Its description in RNAcentral is "partial 16S ribosomal RNA". It matches the Rfam family "Bacterial small subunit ribosomal RNA", at positions 524 to 776 of the family's 1533-position model. The record is from RNAcentral.
UACGUAGGGUGCAAGCGUUGCCCGGAAUUAUUGGGCGUAAAGAGCUUGUAGGCGGUUUGUCGCGUCUGCUGUGAAAUUUCGGGGCUCAACCCCGAACUUGCAGUGGGUACGGGCAGACUAGAGUGUGGUAGGGGAGACUGGAAUUCCUGGUGUAGCGGUGAAAUGCGCAGAUAUCAGGAGGAACACCGAUGGCGAAGGCAGGUCUCUGGGCCACUACUGACGCUGAGGAGCGAAAGCGUGGGGAGCGAACAGG